This 248-nucleotide unclassified non-coding RNA is filed under the name uncultured Euzebyaceae bacterium. RNAcentral's name for it is "contains 16S-23S intergenic spacer region". Lineage: Bacteria; Bacillati; Actinomycetota; Nitriliruptoria; Euzebyales; Euzebyaceae. The record is from RNAcentral.
AGGGCUUGACAUAUAGGGAAAAACCACAUCUCUGUGGUUUUUCCCUAUAUGUCAAGCCCUGGUAAGGUUCUUCGCGUUGCGUCGAAUUAAGCCACAUGCUCCGCCGCUUGUGCGGGCCCCCGUCAAUUCCUUUGAGUUUUAACCUUGCGGUCGUAAUCCCCAGGCGGGGUGCUUAAUGCGUUAGCUGCGGCACGGAGGGAGUGGAUAACCCCCCACACCUAGCACCCAUCGUUUACGGCGUGGACUAC